Molecule: long non-coding RNA, 1304 nt
Filed under: Mus spicilegus (steppe mouse)
Lineage: Eukaryota; Metazoa; Chordata; Mammalia; Rodentia; Muridae
Description: lncRNA (ENSMSIG00000018390.1)
Source: RNAcentral
CCGGCAAUGACAUUCCUGGUUUCCUCUUCGCUCUAGCUGGAGCCAACCCUUUAGGCAGCGCAGUCAUGGGAAAGCUCGCAGCCUCAGACAUAGCACUGUGACCUGGGUCAGAACAUGCCCUGUGGCACUCAAGGGCAGAGGGCAGGCUCUGCUGGAGACCCAUUGGGACAGCAGAGCUGGACAAACAGGCCAAAGGAAAGAGAAGCAUCCCGAAAAGAGGCUGUGGUCGUGAGAGGGAGGGGUGGGCAAGGGUAGAUGAUACCUGCUGAAGAGAUGAUCUUUUGUUUCAGGAGAACCACAGAGCAGAUGACAUGAGAGGACUGAUGGGACAGUUUACAGCCAGGGGAAGGGGACUUAGAGAUCCUUAUCCUGCCUGUCCUCAUACCAGGAACUAUGGAAUGCUUACCUCUUCCCUCCUGGCCUUUCCCCCACCUCCUGCUGUUGAAAUAAGCAGAGAGGUCUGUGGGGAGAAGGAAGUGGAAACAGCCUACAACGUGCCUUUGGCCCCAUUUUCCACAAGCUAAAGCCCUCGGGUUCUGGAUAUAGACUGGUGUCUUGGCCAGAAUUAAGGGAGUUAAGAAAACUUCCAGGCUGGGGACUGAGUAAAGAAGAAUUCAGGAGAUCAGUAGGGCUCAAGAGAGACCAGCAGCCUUCUCUCUCACAAAACAACAGGCAGCAAGGGAUACAACUUCUUUCAAAAGGAAAUGAUCACCCAGCAGAGGGUUUCUGUCCCUUACAAACAACUUUCCAGGAAGGGAUCAAAGAACUGCUGAGUUAGACCAAGGCUGGGUGAGUAUCACAGCAGGGUUGGCCAGGAGCAGACUCACCAUAGCCAUCCCCGCCUGGUCCAGCAGAUGAGCCCAGAGCGGGGACACAAGGACAACAUGGAACUUUUGCCGCUAUGCUAAAACAAGUUCUCUGUCCCAGUACUGUAGAGGAAGGGUAAGUAACGGGGCAAGGUUAUUUGCUUGAUGAGCUGACGAACUAUAAUUAAUACCUGUACAUGGGCACACAGACUCAGAAGGGACCUGAGUAGCCCAAGGGUACCUCCUCAUCCUGGAGAAGCAGCAGGAACCAGGACUGGUACCAUACAUGUCAGCCUCCAAGCCCAGGACUGAUGACCUCAAAGUCAGGGGCCCAAGCCAGGCACGGUGGAACACAACUCUGAUGCCAGCAUUUGGAAGGGAGGAGAGGCAGGAGAAUCAGGAGUUCAAAGCCAUCCUUGGCUACAUCGUGGCAUGCAGCCAGCUUGGGUUAUAUACUAAUUAGCAUUCUCUGGAGAAACGGGCACUAUGGGAUGAAUU